ACCUGCACCCGGGAGGAAAGGCGAGGCUCUGCAUCUAGAUUUACCUCGUUCUCUUUUGUCUCCGCUUUUUUUUCACAUUUCCUUGCGACCCUGGCCCUUGAGCGACAAAAAGGGGAAGCCAAGGCUGGCCCGAGGAACGGAGAGGGCACAUGGCCUAGCCACAAGUGGAGCUUCUGCUCCGCCCGAAGGGAUGCGCUGGAGCGGCCUCUUCCUUCUGCCACGGUCUUUCUUUGCCAACUAGUAGGUGGAGACUGGACCUCAGAAGAGGGAGUGGGUGCCCCGAGAACUCACAGCUAGCGGACAGUGGAAAGGGCAGGAGCCGGACCAAGGUGAGGACAGUGGAACUGAAGGCCGCUGGUUACCUCUCCUGCCCUCCGCUGGCCACAGUGGAGAAGACAGCCCCUCCCUCCUGCUCUGACCUGACAGUGUUCAUCCAUCGCCCUGUAUUAGCGAAGAACAACAUCAAGCUGGCUAGCAAGGAACUGUAUACAGGGUCCAGCUGGGUAUCACACUGGAUCUCACCCAAAGCUUAGAUGUGAUCCAGCUCAGUAUCACAAAGCAGAACGAAAAGGAUGUGUUUGGGCUGAGAGGCCAUACAUUGGCUCCGGCAUGACGGGUGACUUCUUCCGAGUCUGGCUUCUGCAGCACACAGGGCUUCGCCAGCACCCAGCUCCUGCAGCAUGGGCAGCUCCUGUGACAGCAGGCGCCCGCAGCCUGCAAAGCGUCUCCAGUGCCGCCGCCUCAGUGAACCUCAACCAGCGGCACCUAGCAGCUUUCUCUGCCACCCUCUUCAGGUAGUUCUGUAGCAGCGCGUUUCUCAUGAGACACUUCCCUGUGAGCAGCUUUUUCUACCCUUGAGGAUGGAUUUCCAGCAAAUUCUGCCCAUGUGGUACCACAGCCACUUCUCUGCCAUUCAGUGAAACUGCCGUUGUGCCCUCUUCAAGGUCUGGAUCUAAGCCCAGGGACCAGGAAACCUCUUGCUUGAGUGCUGGAACUCAGGCCAGAAGGCACUCCAGAGCCGCGAGCCGCCUCGCACAGCCCGCGCGUUUCUUCUGCUCCCCCGGAAGAGGGCACGGUCUCCUUCCUGGCCGCUCUCUGCCGGCCGUACCGCACGACAGCUGGCAGCACCGUCAGCCCCUGCUCGGGAGCUCGGAAGAUGCUCUAGCUCCGCGGCCAGUGCAGCGAACCCACCCAACCCUGGUGCAGGAGCCAUUGCAGCAAAUUGACAGGGAGUCCUCUGGGCCGGAAGUGGCCCUGGCCCUGCGCCGUAUGCUCUCUAGGACUGCAGGAGGCUCGGCAUCUCGGUGAUAGACCCAGGAAGUCAGUGGCUGGGCGGGGCGGGCUGUGAGGACUGAGGUCUGUAGCGAAGGUCCAGCCCCGUGGUCUUCGCUUCGUUCGGCAACGAACGCCCAGCGAAGGGACAUCCCUGUAGAAGUUCUGCUGCGUGUGGUCCAGCCGUCCCCACUCCUCCCGGGAGAGGUACAAGGCCACAUCCUCGAAAGUCACUGGCAUCUGAAACAAUGUGAAACAUCCACUCUCCAGGACAUGACGUGGACACGGUGGAGGGACACCAUGGCAUGAGAUGUGUGGUGAGACCCCGGACUCCCAACCCACUGUGUCGAGUGAGGCCUGCCACUUCCAUCUGAUCGGGAAGCAGGUGAGCCACCCAAGGCCUUCUGGGGAGUUGAGAAAGAACAAAGACCAAGAGGUAUUUUCAGGGAUCACAGUUAAGACUUAGGAUGUCCAUGCAGCCCCCAGCCUCAGCUGAGACCUCGGAGGACGGUUCCCAACGGCUACCAGCGAGAGGCCCUGUGUCUCUAAUUCCUGCUGCUUCUCCUCCAGCUUUGGCCCAGGCCUGACCAUGGGCCUUGAGCCUGGACAAUUCCAGCAACACUAGCAAGAGCCCCAGGCUUCAGGCUUGGCUGCAAGUGGGGCCAGCGGGGUCCUGGCUUUCACACAGAACCAGCAGAUGCAGGAAGGGCUGAGUACCAUGCAGGGGCCGGGGAAGGGCCACUCACCUGGGACCAGGCAGUGAGGAGCGCUGCAGCCAUCUGCCGGUCUCUGGUCCUCCCCUCUCGGGAAAGCACGGGGAUCCGGGGGGAGGGGAGGGCUGUGGGAGGAGAGAGGUCCUCACGGUGAUCAGCUCAUCCUGCUGGACCUGCUGCUACUUCAGCUGCCUCAAACUCCACCCCUGGCCCGACCCAAGGACAGGGUCGGAUGGCUCUGACGCUGCCAGGGGGCUGUGGGCCAUGGGGGGAUAGCGUCCCCUGCUGGCAUAGAGACCCUCAGCCCCACCUGGACCUGGGCCAAACCUCCACCUCCCCACAGCUGCCUCCCUGGGAAAGCGCCUCUUCCCCGUCCCUCUCCUACCUCCGCCAGGCAGGAAGAGAGCUUUCUCCUUAGAGCCGUGACUUAGGGGUGCCCAGCCCCAGGCACCUUGAGCCCCAUCCUCCUGCGAUGCCCCCUCGGAGUGUGGCUCUUCGGGCUCCAUCUUAAUGUGCAGUGACUCCUGAGUGUCCCCUGAAGGUACCGCCUCCCCCAGCUUAGAAGGCAUUUCCUGAUGAGGAUGUCCACGAUCUGGAACCUAGAAAGGACAGCCCCAUCAGCACCCAGAUGAGUGGGAGAGACACCCAGGGCCACAUGGCAGUGCGCUCCGGCAGCGUCGGAAACCAACAUGCAAGACGCAGCUUGAAGGACUGUCCUUGCUGCAUUCAUCCAGCUCACCCCAGCAAGGACGGGCGGCAAGAGGAGGAAUAUUCACCAAGCCGCCUCCACAGUGCCGGUGGGCGUGGUGCCCAAGGGCAGCUACCCCUUCUCAGCUCCAGCCUCACACUGACCUCAGCAGUGUAGACUGCUGUCUAUUAGUGUAUGAAGAAACCAAGUGUAGUGGCUUGAAUAGUGUCCUCUAAGAAUCCGUGUCCUCCCUGGACCUCAGAAUGGGACCUUAUUGGGGAAAAGGGUCUUUAUACAGGAGAGGACACAGAGACACAGAGAAGGAAGCAGAGACUGGAGGGAUGCCCACACCAAGGACACCAGGAGCCCCCAAGGAGUUGGAAGAGGUCUCAGUGCUUUUGCAAACCUUCUCUUCUACAACCCUCUCCUGCAAUACAUCUGGGAGGUGGGAUCAUCGUUCACACAUUACAGAGGAGGCAGUGAUGGUUUUCAAAUGAAAAGUGACUUCGCCAAGGACACAUGCAGCUGGGCUGUGGAGGGCCUAGUCUGUCUCCUUUUUCCAUCCCUCGUUUAUUUCCAGAGCUGUUCCUACACCUGAAAAGCGCCACUCCCCCUGCACACCCUGGCAGACAACCGGAUUCGAUGGCCCUGGCAGCCCGAACGCCAACAAACACCCAGUGUCUUUCUGAAGCGACCAUAAGCCAUUCGAGGAAACACGCACGGGGUCCUGCUUGUCCUGGCCUUGUCCCCAAUGCCCAGGGCAGUGAGAGCAGCUCUACACGGAGGCCAGUCCCUGAGGCUUCCUCGGUGGCCUCAGACCUCGGAGUACACACGUGCAGUCCUUACCUCCCAAAGAUAAACCUAACCUCUCACUCUGCUCUUCACCUACUUCAGACUGCUGUCCCAUAUAUGGUCACCAGAGACAUAUGAGAACCACUAGAGAUAGCCCCAAACUGAAAACUGCCCACGGGCUACCCAUAGCAGAAUGAAUAACUGAUGUAAUGAGGAAAAUCAUUCAGCAACGAGAGGGAAAGAACGCUCGAUGGCAUGGAGUCCCAGCUGUAGUCCCAGCUCCUUGGUAGACCGAGAUGGGAGGAUCACUUUAACCCAGGAGUUUGAGUCCAGCCUGGGAGAUAUGGCAAGACCU
Long non-coding RNA from Homo sapiens (human), 3820 nucleotides. Ensembl annotates it as ZNF213 antisense RNA 1 (head to head). Its record names the gene ZNF213-AS1. NCBI's taxonomy places the organism in Eukaryota, Metazoa, Chordata, Mammalia, Primates, Hominidae. The record is from Ensembl.